RNAcentral lists this long non-coding RNA (1033 nucleotides) under Bos indicus x Bos taurus (hybrid cattle). RNAcentral's name for it is "lncRNA (ENSBIXG00000024870.1)". Lineage: Eukaryota; Metazoa; Chordata; Mammalia; Artiodactyla; Bovidae. The record is from RNAcentral.
CAGGCUUCUUUAACUAAAAGGGAAGGGGUGUUUGCCUGGCUGUUGUGAACUUCUUGCUGCUGAAAUCCUUUGUUCCUCAACUGUCCUCCUAGGUAUGGUCACAAUGUUCCUACAAACCUUCAACAAGGCAAAUGUUAUUCUCUGUUCUGCAACUUCUUAUCUCUGUAUGAGGGGGAAAGUGUUAUACCUUAAAAGAUCGGAGCGUUGAGAUGGCUAUCCAGUAUCUCUUGGCUAUAGGCAACAUUCUUUUAGUGAUUAACUUGUAGGCAAAAGCAAUAGGAUACCAAUGUUAAAGGAAAAGAAACAGAUCCAAUAUGGAGUCAGAUUUGUUCUCUAUUACAGUGGGGGUACUCUUAGCCCCUUUGCCUUUGAGAUCUCCCCUAUCCCUGGGUGCCUCGGGCAACUGUUUAUGAGAACCAAGUGAGGUUGUUGGUGAACUCAUUUCUGAUUGUUUAUAUGAAAACAAAUACAAAGGGAAUUUGUGUUCUGGUCCUCUUGCACCCCCUUCUCUGGGGCAUCACCGUCCUAGACUCCGAAGUCAUUGUGGUUCCUGCCAUUUUUCUACCUUGACGUCUGAUGGCAGAAUGAAUGAGACCCUUUAGUGUCCUGGACUUUGUUUUCUAUAACUUGCCUUCCUCUACUAGCCACAUCAACAUGUUACAAAUUGCUUUUACAUAUUUCUUUCAUUUGAACUCUCUUCCCAACCCAGGGAUCGAACCCAGGUCUCCUGCAUUGCAGGUGGAUUCUUUACCGUCUGAGCCACCAAGGAAGCCCUUUCAUUUGAACUCAGUACCUCUGGAAAGCAGGUGGUGUGUCCUUGGACAGAUGGGUUUAUUGAGGGCAGAUGCCGAGACUCUGUAACAACACAGAACCAAGAAGGUCAUCUAACCCUUACAGUCCUCAGCGGAGUCCAGCCGUGAAUCUGUUCCAUUUCUAAUUCCUCAACUGGGUUUUCUUAAUUGCACUGAGGUAUUUUUCUUACCCUGAUCACAAUGUUUGCCUUAAAUCUCAUAAAGUUCAGUGUGUUCCUGCU